Magnolia sinica is the source of this 639-nucleotide long non-coding RNA. RefSeq lists it as uncharacterized. The record is from RefSeq and is a predicted model, not a curated record. Lineage: Eukaryota; Viridiplantae; Streptophyta; Magnoliopsida; Magnoliales; Magnoliaceae. The transcript is spliced from 4 exons.
CUUUUUUUUUUUUUGCUAGUUACGCUGUUUGUCGAAGAUUCUAAAAUUUAAUAUGGGUUACAGGAAUUUGCAACCCUAAAGAAAUCACUGUUCCAAAAUUGAAAGCCUACCUACUGAUUUGUAACCCCAAGCAAAUCACUAAAGAAGAAACUGAUGUAUCGACUCACCAAUCAAAAGUUUCCCUAUGCAGAGAUAGACAUGCUCUAGGGAGUAACAUGAAGAAAACAUAGAAUCAGUAUAUAUAGGGAGUAACAUGAAGAAAACGUAGAAACAGGUCCCCUAGAAAUGCGUAUGUUGAAGGCGAUGCAUCAAGUGCGAGUUAUAUCCUAGCAGGCGCAGCAGUCACCGGUGGCAUGGUCACAGUUGAAGGUUGCAGCACAAGCAGUUUACAACAUCAAACUGGCUGUAGUUGCUUCUCGUAAGGAACACAUAAAUCUGGAGCAGUGGCUAAACGAAAAUCUGAGCACAUACAAGGAUACUUUUUUCGAGGAUUGCCUGCAAGUUCUUAAAAGAAAUACCUUCUGCAGCAACAAAUGAUGCAUCUGCCAAUCCUUUCCAACAUUCUAUUGAAAAUCCUUUUGCAAAUUUUCUAUACAUUAAAUACCAUUGAAAAUCCUUUUACAGAUUUUCUAAGGAACA